Molecule: non-coding RNA, 30 nt
Filed under: Rattus norvegicus (Norway rat)
Lineage: Eukaryota; Metazoa; Chordata; Mammalia; Rodentia; Muridae
Source: RNAcentral
UACAAACUUUGAAAGCUUUCUCUUUUUGUA